Molecule: ribosomal RNA, 612 nt
Filed under: Riemerella anatipestifer
Lineage: Bacteria; Pseudomonadati; Bacteroidota; Flavobacteriia; Flavobacteriales; Weeksellaceae
Description: bacterial SSU rRNA
Rfam family: Bacterial small subunit ribosomal RNA
Source: RNAcentral
ACAAUGGAGAGUUUGAUCCUGGCUCAGGAUGAACGCUAGCGGGAGGCCUAACACAUGCAAGCCGAGCGGUAGAGUAUCUUCGGAUACUUGAGAGCGGCGUACGGGUGCGGAACACGUGUGCAACCUGCCUUUAUCAGAGGGAUAGCCUUUCGAAAGGAAGAUUAAUACCUCAUAAUAUACUGAUUGGCAUCAAUUAGUAUUGAAAGCUCUGGCGGAUAGAGAUGGGCACGCGCAAGAUUAGAUAGUUGGUGAGGUAACGGCUCACCAAGUCAAUGAUCUUUAGGGGGCCUGAGAGGGUGAUCCCCCACACUGGUACUGAGACACGGACCAGACUCCUACGGGAGGCAGCAGUGAGGAAUAUUGGACAAUGGGUGCAAGCCUGAUCCAGCCAUCCUGCGUGAAGGACGACGGCCCUAUGGGUUGUAAACUUCUUUUGUACAGGGAUAAACCUACCCUCGUGAGGGUAGCUGAAGGUACUGUACGAAUAAGCACCGGCUAACUCCGUGCCAGCAGCCGCGGUAAUACGGAGGGUGCAAGCGUUAUCCGGAUUUAUUGGGUUUAAAGGGUCCGCAGGCGGGCUAGUAAGUCAGUGGUGAAAGCCUACAGCUUAAC